This 809-nucleotide ribosomal RNA is filed under the name uncultured bacterium. Its description in RNAcentral is "bacterial SSU rRNA". It matches the Rfam family "Bacterial small subunit ribosomal RNA", at positions 8 to 796 of the family's 1533-position model. The record is from RNAcentral.
AGAGUUUGAUCCUGGCUCAGAAUCAACGCUGGCGGCAUGCCUCAGACAUGCAAGUCGAACGCGAAAGGCUCCUUCGGGGGCCGAGUAGAGUGGCGUCCGGGUGAGUAACACGUGGGUAAUCUACCUUCGGGUGGGGAAUAACAGCCGGAAACGGCUGCUAAUACCGCAUAAUGCAGCGGCACCUAAUGGUGACAGUUGUUAAAGCGGGGGAUCGUAAGACCUCGCGCCUGAAGAGGAGCCCGCGGCGGAUUAGCUAGUUGGCAGGGUAACGGCCUACCAAGGCAACGAUCCGUAGCCGGCCUGAGAGGGCGGUCGGCCACACUGGCACUGACACACGGGCCAGACUCCUACGGGAGGCAGCAGUCGGGAAUUUUGGGCAAUGGGCGAAAGCCUGACCCAGCAACGCCGCGUGAAGGAUGAAGUUUCUCGGAAUGUAAACUUCACAAGAAUGGGAAGAAUAAGUGCGGGCUAACAUCCUGCAUGAUGACGGUACCAUUUGUAAGCUCCGGCUAACUCCGUGCCAGCAGCCGCGGUAAUACGGGGGGAGCAAGCGUUGUUCGGAUUUACUGGGCGUAAAGGGCGCGUAGGCGGCGCAACAAGUCACUUGUGAAAUCUCCGGGCUUAACUCGGAGCGGCCAAGUGAUACUGUCGUGCUAGAGUGCGGAAGGGGCUACUGGAAUUCUCGGUGUAGCGGUGAAAUGCGUAGAUAUCGAGAGGAACACCUGCGGCGAAGGCGGGUAGCUGGGCCGACACUGACGCUGAUGCGCGAAAGCCAGGGGAGCGAACGGGAUUAGAUACCCCGGUAGUCC